Molecule: long non-coding RNA, 6269 nt
Organism: Taeniopygia guttata (zebra finch)
Lineage: Eukaryota; Metazoa; Chordata; Aves; Passeriformes; Estrildidae
Source: Ensembl
GUGCUAAAAUCCUUUAUUCACAUCAGGCAGAGCAGCAAACUGGAGCCCACCCCUCGACACAAGUUUUGAUAUAAAAUUAUUUUUUAUUACCCCAACAUUUGAGAAGACUCCAGCUGUCAGAAGGUCAACCAUGAGUGCUUUGUGGUGAUUCCAUUUUCCAUAUUCCAUUUUCCACAUCUCACAGGAAGGCAGGACAAUCAUUUAUUUGCUAAGUGCCCAUCACACACACACCCCUAGAUCUGUACAAACACCAGCGGCUCUGUUUCUUUCCUGAGCCCCUCUCUCAGCAUUCCCACACACCUGAGAUUCUCCCACUGGCACUUGUGCCAUCAAACCUUUCCUUCCAAAAACACACCUGGUCCCCAGGGAUGUGCCAAAGGCUCUCCUGGAGGUGGCCUCUUCUGAUGAGAAGUGAGAGCAGGUCCCUCACUACUCAUAAUUACAAAAAUAAAAUAAUUCCAUGAGGUGGUUCCUAAAUGGGGCAGAAUGAGCCCAAAUGUCUGGACAAACAGAGUCAAGUCUCACCCUCCAUGUGAGAUGCUCCUAUGGGUAUUUAUUCCUAAACAUCUCAAAGUGAUGUUGGGAGAGGCCGCAGCCAGCCAGGCUGAUCCCAAGGACAUCCUUGGAAUUCCAUGGACAGCUGGAGUUUAUUUUGGUGAAAAGAAAGCUCAGGGAAAAACUCAGCCUGACAGGAGGUUGUAGCCAGGUAGGGAUCAGACUUUUUUUCCCCAGGGAACUAGUGACAGGACAAGGGGAAAUGGCCUCAAGUUACACCAGGGAAAGUGCAGGUGGAUAUUAGGAAAAAAAUUGUUACUGAGUGGCUCAGCAUUGAAAUGGUGGAGUCACCAUUCCUGGAAGAGUUCAAAAAACAGUAUGUGUGGCAUUUAAACUCAAUAUUUUUUAGUGGAUGUGAUGAUAUUUGGUCAAUGGUUGGACAUGACGAUCUUGGAGAUCUUUUCCAACUUGAGGAUUCUAUAGGAUCACCUGGAAUGGCCUUACAGCAGCUUCGCCACAGACAAACCAGCUUCCCAAAGAGAGAUACACAGAUAUUAAAUCACAGGAAGCAAAAAGGAUUUGCUCAGGAUAACUUUGUGCACUGAUGGGGAUGGUGGGAGUGAUCCAACGCGGCAGCACCUAAAUUAAAUGUAAAUUAAAUACAUUUCAUGUAUUAAAUGCGGUAAAUACGAUUUUUUAAAUAUGAUUUUUUUCAAAUGUUCCAGAACACAAGUCAGGGAAUAAAUGAAUCCCCUUUAUUUUCCCUAAACUCUUACCUCGGGGUGAAUUCUGAAGCGCACCCUGAGCAGAAAUUCUCGACGUUUGUUCUGGAUGAGCGAGGGGCAGUAAAACACCUGACGAGAGCCGCAAGAAAUCCAAAACUGUAAAGAUUUACUGCGCUCACAGUUACAGCCCCACAGCCCUGUGAAAAGCCCCAGUAAAAUAUACGAGUUAGUUCUGCUGAGCAGAGCUGCAGGCUUUAAAUCUGCACAGGUGCUGCCUUCCAAACACGUAAAUAAAACCUCAAAUGGCUCCCUCAGAACGCACCAGGGCUCACUGUGACACGGGGCCUGUCCUGUAGCUGUUCGUUUUUGUAACGUGGAAAAAGUCACUUUUUAUUUGCAUUCCCUCAGUGUUGAUGAAGAUUUCAGCUGUUGAUGAAGAUUUUCAGUUCAAUCUCAGCUGGCUAAUGGUUUCCUUUGCACCAAGAUGGGAGUCCAAAGGCAAUGGUGGGAUAUAUGAUAUAAUUAUUUUCCCUAAUGGAAAAAAACAUUCCUUUCAAUGGCAGUCCUAAAUUAUUGAUGCCUUAAAGGCAAAUGCUUUUGUAUAUUAAGUAUUUGAAAACUGGGUGAGUAGUAGAGUAAGUCUUGAGUAGGGAGGGCAAGAAAAACCUGUGUUAAGUCCAUUACUGAAUGCAGCACUGAACGACUUGCAAGAAUUUAUCCUACUCUAUAUUUAUUUCUUUUUCAUGCAUGCCCUGCUAUUUUUAUGGAUUGAAUAUAUUUGUUUUUUCCUUAAUUAAUAUUCUUUUAGCUCUUUAAUUUCAUGAUACCCAAUAGAACUCUAUGAAAAACACAAGAAGUUUUACCAAAAAUCAAAAAAUUGAUAAUUUUAAUCACCUUGAGGUGAAAGUAUUUCUAUAAUUGGACCUAACUCUGUAAGGUAAGAGGUCACUGUAAAUUCUUUUAAAAUAUGCUUAUUAAUUAUCAAUUAUUUCCCAAUAGUCUUGCUUGGGUUUAAUAUCACUAUUAUUGUUAUUAUUAUUAACUCAUUUGGCCCUUGGACAAAAUUGUGAUCGUUUCAAAGCACAUAAGAGAUAGAAAAUGUCUCUGUAGCUUUAUGGCAAUACAAAAGUAAGUAAUUUGAUCUAUUCCUCUAAAAAAAUCUUGCUGCUCUCAAAGACUUUAAAAAUCUAUUUUACUUUCAGUCAACGGUGAACUUUGGCGUGACACAUGUGAGUUUGCACUUAAUCCAUUUUGUGGUGACCUGCUCCUUUAUUGCUCUCUGCUCCAGCGUGGGAGAAAGAUGGUUAAACACCAUCAGGAGCUGAUGGAAACGCCUCCAAUGAAAUUUCAUUUUUCAGAGCAAGGCAGGGCAGCUCCGAGAGCCAAAAUUGUCUCUUGUCAAAGGAGAGAGAGAUGCUCUUUGGAGGCACUGACUGCAGGCAGAAAGAGGCACAAGGAACUUAGGCAAGGGUUUAACUUUAAAAAAGAAAUAAUCUGAAUCUCUUGCUUUCACUUGGAUGAUGAUUUAAGUUUGCAGUUGUGUGGCGGCCAAUUUUAAUGUUUGUAUUAGGAUCCAGAAUGAGAGUUUUCCAUUAAAAACCUUCAGCUUCGGAGCAGCUCCUCCUUAAGUUGCCACUGUCUACUCAGUCUGUUUUGUGGGGUUUGAUGGUUAUUUUUUUAACUCAUCAAAAAAUAAAAUAAAUGCACUGAAAAAUGCUGUUUAAAAUAUUUUAGAAAUAAGCUUAUAGAUAAAAAGCAUUUUUGAGAGUUUCCAGACAUAUGAAAGGAGUGGAAGAUUUCAAAACCUUCUUAUUAUGAAGAGUAUUUUAUGCAAAUGCUGUCAAAGAUACAUCUAUGCAAAGGAAUUUUUACUGGUAAAGUAAAAAUACAAUUUAGAGAUUUAUGCUGCAGUUGCAGUGCUCAAUCUUGGGUUUUCCAAAGGCAGCAAGAUGGAUUCUGAAAUCCUUAUAAAGCCUCUGCAAAACAUCAUGUGCCUGCCACAAAUUCCUGCUUAGAACAAUUUAAGUUGCAAAUAAGGAACCAGUCCAGAAAUUCUGCAUGUUUGGCUUGCUUUAAAUGACUUGUCCUUGUUGUUAUGGUAAUUCUAUGAAAAAGAUUCUCAGAAAUCAAUUUGUUGUUUGUGUAUAAUUCCCCAAACUGAGCAAGAACCUGCUGGGUGCUGGGUGGAUGAAGGAGCUGCCACUGGCAAAGGUGUUGAGCUCAAUUUAAGCCUAUCAAAUGUGGCAGCAUUUAAAAUUCAAUAAUCUUGAAUUUUGAAUUCAAGGUCAGGAGGGAGUGAGGAUGCUGAAGGCAUAGCUUGGAUCAUCCCAAAGGUUAUCACCCAGCAUUUCUCUCAGAAAAUGAGAUGUACAAAUCCCAGGAAGGGCAGGGCUAGUGGAGUUUCUUGGUGUGGGAAACGGAUUUGCAGAGAGUUUUUAGGGUUUGACAGAAGGUUUACAUAGUAUGUAUUUGUAUGUAAAUGUUGAGAUAAGAAAUGUUGACUUAGAAAUGUUAUAGAAUGGGAUAGAUAUUGUUGAGAGAGAAAUGGAGUUAGAAAAAAGUUUUAAAGGAUGGUUUUGUAAAUAAGACUGGAAACUGGAGAAAUAGAACUAUGAAAGAUGUAUUUUCAUAGGACACACAAGGAGUAAUUUUAGAUGAUUGGUUUUAAGGUAUUUACAGUAUAUUGUGGUAAAAAAGCUGAUAAGCUGAGAGAUGUUUAUAGUGUUUUUUAAUUAAGAAAUAGCUGGCUUUUGAUUGUGAUAGUGCGAAUUAUAGCAUUUGUAUUGUCUCACUCUUUUCAUAAAAGUGAAAAUAGAAUAAAAGAUUUUAAAACAUGUCUUAGUUGCCUCAUGUUGAGGCUAGAAAAAGAUAUAAUCCAGGUAUAACAAACCAGUAUCAACAUAUCAGCAAUAAACAACCAAUAGCUUCACUGGUAAAGCUGUUAAAUUACAAAAAUCAGACAAAACUUGGAGCCAGGUAAGAAGCAGCACAAUAACACAAAUGGGAGGAGCGAAAGUUGGAUUUACCAAGACAAAAACUGUGCUGAAGGAAAAGUGGCAAGAAUAUUUCUACUUGUUAGAGGUAUAAUUGUGCAGAACACAGGCAAAGGCACCGUGGAAAAGCAAUAACAGGCAUUGGAAGAGUGGGACUGAUUGUACAUGAAGAAGUCAGGGCAGGUGCUGCACUCUGCGUGCCCAUUAAAACCCCGAAAGCACAGGAUUUACCUCAGAAACUGGCAGAGGGAAUAGACUUUUCCAAAGUGUGCUUGUCCAAAGUCUGGCAGCGCCGUAGGAAUCCAGAUUUUAAAAACACGCUAAUUCUGACUGAACUCACACGUUGGUGCCUAUUGAAGUAGGCAAGAUUACCCUGGGGGGAGCCAGUUACCUGAAGGAUUUCAAAGACGAAUGGAUUGAAACCUGCAGAGAAUAAAUAGUAUUUUCUGGUUUUUGGAUGACAUACUAAUACCUGGGAGGAAUUCAGACGAGUAUUUACAAAACCUUGAGGAAAUUCCAACAUGUUAUAAAGUUAUGCUUUAAAGUGAACAAAAAUAAGAUUGUAAGCAUGAGAUUUUUUUUCCAGCUCCCUAAAACCAAGUUCCUUGCCUAAGUUUCAGGAAUAAAGGCUUUAAAAAGGAAAAUAAAAACUAUUGAGCAUGCAUUAGUGCCUCAAUAUUACCCAGCUUCUGUUGUUUUUAUCCAUGUGAAAGGUUUCUUAUGGAAGUUCCAAAUUAUCAUUGCUAAUUAGGUUGCUGUUUUCCUGAUAAAGGAAACAUAAAAUAGAUGUGGAUGGAGCAUUAAAAUAGGAAUCUUUUUUUGAGGAAGAAAAACAAAAAACCCAAGAGCUCUAUAGCACCCUAUAAUUUGAGGUCAUUCAGGAGAACCUUAAACCACAAUUUCCUGAAGGAAAAUGAGCUGUUCCUUCAAGACUCCAGCAUGCGAAAAAUUCCCAGUUAUUUGCCUUUCAGAUCAUUAUCAAAAUCUGAAAAGACAUCUACAUUUUUAAAAGAAAACUUGCUCUCCCAUUUAGAAAUUAAUAAAUUCUAGGAACAUCUCUUAAAACAUAUCUUGAUGCAGGUAGAAAACCAGAGGUAAAAAAGAGGGGUGACUAAUUUACGUUUUUUGGGGGGGCAAGCAGUUUGGGGGAUCAAUCUUUUAUUGUUUUUAAUAUUGCAAAAUUCCCUGUAGACCGUGAAACAAGUGUCCUUCACAUCCCUCCUUCCAGUCACCAACAAAUUCAGCUGGAGACAGAGAAGAAAAGGUUAUUUUCCAAGGAAAGGCCUGGAUUUCUGUGUGUUUUUUAAACAGCCUCAUCACAGGAGAUAUUUAAGCUCCAGUGCUUCACUGAGCAGCAUUAUCUGGGCAGGAGAUGCUGCUUUCCAGGAGGACCAGCUCCAAGGAGCUUGGGAACCUUUUUACCAUCAGAAUUGCCUCAGUAGCAUCAUGGAGAAAUAAAGAAGAACCAAAAGAAGCUGCUCUUGGUGCAAAUUUUGAUCAGGGCCCUGAGCCCUCUGGAGCCCGCAGGAACAAGGGCAGGGCGUGUUUCUCCCACUCUGUUGGGACUGUACCUCUUGUGUGUGGCCACCUGGACUUGCAGCAGUGUUUUUAUGGAGGAUUUCUCUGCAAAUCUCUUGCAAGGCUUUCCUGGGGGACACAGUGACCCCAGGAGCACUCAGUGUGAUUCUGCUUUGCCCCAUCCAAGUGAGAGUCCCUUUGGUUAUGUCCAUUCUCUUCCCAGACCCAAGAGAAAUGGAGUCCUGCAUAUUUGAGAACAAACUCCUGUCUUGUGCUCAGUAACAGGGAGGAAAAGAAAACAUUAUUGUCCUCAGUUAAUUGCUUCUUUGUGACAGGCACACUUCAAAGGCAAUUUAGUCUCAAGUGCAUCUUAGCAGAGAAAAACCCAUAUUACCGAUUUUAACCCCCACUAUUUCCAGCCACGAAGAUGAAUGAAUUCCACCUAAUAGAAUCUCCACAUGGUGGAAUGUGAAAUUAGUUUGGGGUUUGGUUGGGGUUGGGUUUUUUGGUCUGUUUUGUUUUUUAAAGUCCUGUUUUA